GGUGAGCUUCGCUCCCUGAGAUCAGCGGCGGACGGGUGAGUAACACGUGGGUAACCUGCCUGUAAGACUGGGAUAACUCCGGGAAACCGGGGCUAAUACCGGAUAACUCAGUUCCUCGCAUGAGGAACGGUUGAAAGGUGGCUUUUCGCUACCACUUACAGAUGGACCCGCGGCGCAUUAGCUAGUUGGUGAGGUAACGGCUCACCAAGGCGACGAUGCGUAGCCGACCUGAGAGGGUGAUCGGCCACACUGGGACUGAGACACGGCCCAGACUCCUACGGGAGGCAGCAGUAGGGAAUCUUCCGCAAUGGACGAAAGUCUGACGGAGCAACGCCGCGUGAGUGAAGAAGGUUUUCGGAUCGUAAAACUCUGUUGUUAGGGAAGAACAAGUGCCGUUCGAAUAGGGCGGCACCUUGACGGUACCUAACCAGAAAGCCACGGCUAACUACGUGCCAGCAGCCGCGGUAAUACGUAGGUGGCAAGCGUUGUCCGGAAUUAUUGGGCGUAAAGCGCGCGCAGGUGGUUUCUUAAGUCUGAUGUGAAAGCCCACGGCUCACCGUGGAGGGUCAUUGGAAACUGGGGAACUUGAGUGCAGAAGAGGAAAGUGGAAUUCCAAGUGUAGCGGUGAAAUGCGUAGAUAUUUGGAGGAAC
RNAcentral lists this ribosomal RNA (651 nucleotides) under Bacillus sp. (in: firmicutes). Its description in RNAcentral is "bacterial SSU rRNA". It matches the Rfam family "Bacterial small subunit ribosomal RNA", at positions 72 to 707 of the family's 1533-position model. Lineage: Bacteria; Bacillati; Bacillota; Bacilli; Caryophanales; Bacillaceae. The record is from RNAcentral.